UCAUAUGCUUGUCUCAAAGAUUAAGCCAUGCAUGUCUAAGUAUAAGCACUUUAUACUGUGAAACUGCGAAUGGCUCAUUAAAUCAGUUAUCGUUUAUUUGAUAGUACCUUACUACAUGGAUACCUGUGGUAAUUCUAGAGCUAAUACAUGCUGAAAACCUCGACUUCGGAAGGGGUGUAUUUAUUAGAUAAAAAACCAAUGCCCUUCGGGGCUCCUUGGUGAAUCAUAAUAACUUAACGAAUCGCAUGGCCUUGCGCCGGCGAUGGUUCAUUCAAAUUUCUGCCCUAUCAACUUUCGAUGGUAGGAUAGUGGCCUACCAUGGUGGCAACGGGUAACGGGGAAUUAGGGUUCGAUUCCGGAGAGGGAGCCUGAGAAACGGCUACCACAUCCAAGGAAGGCAGCAGGCGCGCAAAUUACCCAAUCCCGACACGGGGAGGUAGUGACAAUAAAUACUGAUACGGGGCUCUUUUGGGUCUCGUAAUUGGGAUGAGUACGAUCUGGAUCCCUUAACGAGGAACAAUUGGAGGGCAAGUCUGGUGCCAGCAGCCGCGGUAAUUCCAGCUCCAAUAGCGUAUAUUAAAGUUGUUGCAGUUAAAAAGCUCGUAGUUGAACCUUGGGUCUGGCUGGCCGGUCCGCCUCACCGCGAGUACUGGUCCGGCUGGACCUUUCCUUCUGGGGAAUCUCAUGGCCUUCACUGGCUGUGGGGGGAACCAGGACUUUUACUGUGAAAAAAUUAGAGUGUUCAAAGCAGGCCUUUGCUCGAAUACAUUAGCAUGGAAUAAUAGAAUAGGACGUGCGGUUCUAUUUUGUUGGUUUCUAGGACCGCCGUAAUGAUUAAUAGGGAUAGUCGGGGGCGUCAGUAUUCAGCUGUCAGAGGUGAAAUUCUUGGAUUUGCUGAAGACUAACUACUGCGAAAGCAUUCGCCAAGGAUGUUUUCAUUAAUCAGGGAACGAAAGUUAGGGGGAUCGAAGACGAUCAGAUACCGUCGUAGUCUUAACCAUAAACUAUGCCGACUAGGGAUCGGACGGUGUUUCUAUUAUGACCCGUUCGGCACCUUACGAGAAAUCAAAGUUUUUGGGU
This 1080-nucleotide ribosomal RNA is filed under the name Aspergillus tubingensis. Its description in RNAcentral is "SSU rRNA". It matches the Rfam family "Eukaryotic small subunit ribosomal RNA", at positions 24 to 1112 of the family's 1831-position model. The record is from RNAcentral. Lineage: Eukaryota; Fungi; Ascomycota; Eurotiomycetes; Eurotiales; Aspergillaceae.